CAAACUGGGAUUAGAUACCCCACUAUGCCUAGCCCUAAAUCUAGAUACCUCCCAUCACACAUGUAUCCGCCUGAGAACUACGAGCACAAACGCUUAAAACUCUAAGGACUUGGCGGUGCCCCAAACCCACCUAGAGGAGCCUGUUCUAUAAUCGAUAAUCCACGAUUCACCCAACCACCCCUUGCCAGCACAGCCUACAUACCGCCGUCGCCAGCCCACCUCUAAUGAAAGAACAACAGUGAGCUCAAUAGCCCCUCGCUAAUAAGACAGGUCAAGGUAUAGCCUAUGGGGUGGGAGAAAUGGGCUACAUUUUCUAACAUAGAACAAACGAAAAAGGACGUGAAACCCGCCCUUAGAAGGAGGAUUUAGCAGUAAAGUGAGAUCAUACCCCCUAAGCUCACUUUAAGACGGCUCUGAGGCACGUACACACCGCCCGUCACCCUC
RNAcentral lists this ribosomal RNA (444 nucleotides) under Gallus gallus (chicken). RNAcentral's name for it is "partial 12S ribosomal RNA". It matches the Rfam family "Bacterial small subunit ribosomal RNA", at positions 768 to 1404 of the family's 1533-position model. Lineage: Eukaryota; Metazoa; Chordata; Aves; Galliformes; Phasianidae. The record is from RNAcentral.